Molecule: small nucleolar RNA, 84 nt
Organism: Echinops telfairi (small Madagascar hedgehog)
Lineage: Eukaryota; Metazoa; Chordata; Mammalia; Afrosoricida; Tenrecidae
Source: Ensembl
GCACUGGGCCAGAGCAAUACUCUGAUGUAUGCAUGGGGGCUGUUCCUUUGCAGCAGCCUCCAUAGCCCGGUCACUGGUACAUGG